AUACAGGUACCGUCCCGUUCGAGAAGCAAGACAAAGUGCCAGAUGUCAAAUCGCGACGGCACCGUCAAAUCGCGACCCGUGUUGCCGUGGUAAGAAUUCAAAAACUAACGGAUUGGUUUCGAACAGUCACCCGCCCGG
Non-coding RNA from Bombyx mori (domestic silkworm), 138 nucleotides. The record is from RefSeq and is marked provisional. NCBI's taxonomy places the organism in Eukaryota, Metazoa, Arthropoda, Insecta, Lepidoptera, Bombycidae.